GAUGAACGCUAGCGGCAGGCUUAACACAUGCAAGUCGAGGGGUAUUGGUUUUCGGACCAAGAGACCGGCGCACGGGUGCGUAACGCGUAUGCAAUCUACCUUUUGCAGAGGGAUAGCCCCAGAGAAAUUUGGAUUAAUACCUCAUAGUAUAGUACUUUGGCAUCAAGGAACUAUUAAAGUCACAACGGCAAAAGAUGAGCAUGCGUCCCAUUAGCUAGUUGGUAAGGUAACGGCUUACCAAGGCUACGAUGGGUAGGGGUCCUGAGAGGGAGAUCCCCCACACUGGUACUGAGACACGGACCAGACUCCUACGGGAGGCAGCAGUGAGGAAUAUUGGACAAUGGGCGCAAGCCUGAUCCAGCCAUGCCGCGUGCAGGAUGACGGUCCUAUGGAUUGUAAACUGCUUUAUACAGGAAGAAACACUCCGACGUNUCGGAGCUUGACGGUACUGUAAGAAUAAGGAUCGGCUAACUCCGUGCCAGCAGCCGACGG
RNAcentral lists this ribosomal RNA (492 nucleotides) under uncultured bacterium. RNAcentral's name for it is "bacterial SSU rRNA". It matches the Rfam family "Bacterial small subunit ribosomal RNA", at positions 28 to 520 of the family's 1533-position model. The record is from RNAcentral.